GCGGACGGGUGAGUAACACGUGGAUAACCUACCUAUAAGACUGGGAUAACUUCGGGAAACCGGAGCUAAUACCGGAUAACAUAUUGAACCGCAUGGUUCAAUAGUGAAAGGCGGCUUUGCUGUCACUUAUAGAUGGAUCCGCGCCGUAUUAGCUAGUUGGUAAGGUAACGGCUUACCAAGGCAACGAUACGUAGCCGACCUGAGAGGGUGAUCGGCCACACUGGAACUGAGACACGGUCCAGACUCCUACGGGAGGCAGCAGUAGGGAAUCUUCCGCAAUGGGCGAAAGCCUGACGGAGCAACGCCGCGUGAGUGAUGAAGGUCUUCGGAUCGUAAAACUCUGUUAUCAGGGAAGAACAAAUGUGUAAGUAACUGUGCACAUCUUGACGGUACCUGAUCAGAAAGCCACGGCUAACUACGUGCCAGCAGCCGCGGUAAUACGUAGGUGGCAAGCGUUAUCCGGAAUUAUUGGGCGUAAAGCGCGCGUAGGCGGUUUUUUAAGUCUGAUGUGAAAGCCCACGGCUCAACCGUGGAGGGUCAUUGGAAACUGGAAAACUUGAGUGCAGAAGAGGAAAGUGGAAUUCCAUGUGUAGCGGUGAAAUGCGCAGAGAUAUGGAGGAACACCAGUGGCGAAGGCGACUUUCUGGUCUGUAACUGACGCUGAUGUGCGAAAGCGUGGGGAUCAAACAGGAUUAGAUACCCUGGUAGUCCACGCCGUAAACGAUGAGUGCUAAGUGUUAGGGGGUUUCCGCCCCUUAGUGCUGCAGCUAACGCAUUAAGCACUCCGCCUGGGGAGUACGACCGCAAGGUUGAAACUCAAAGGAAUUGACGGGGACCCGCACAAGCGGUGGAGCAUGUGGUUUAAUUCGAAGCAACGCGAAGAACCUUACCAAAUCUUGACAUCCUUUGACCGCUCUAGAGAUAGAGUCUUCCCCUUCGGGGGACAAAGUGACAGGUGGUGCAUGGUUGUCGUC
RNAcentral lists this ribosomal RNA (974 nucleotides) under Staphylococcus warneri. RNAcentral describes it as "bacterial SSU rRNA". It matches the Rfam family "Bacterial small subunit ribosomal RNA", at positions 98 to 1056 of the family's 1533-position model. The record is from RNAcentral. Lineage: Bacteria; Bacillati; Bacillota; Bacilli; Caryophanales; Staphylococcaceae.